GAGUUUGAUCCUGGCUCAGGAUGAACGCUAGCGGCAGGCCUAAUACAUGCAAGACGAACGGUAAGUUGAGUAGCAAUACUUGACCAAGAGUGUCGUAAGGGUGCGUAACACGUAUGCAAUCUGCCCUCAACAGGAGGAUAGCUCCCCGAAAGGGGAAUUAAUACUGCGUAAGAUUGUAGUUCGGCAUCGGACAGCAAUUAAAACCGAGGUGGUUGAGGAUGAGCAUGCGCAUGAUUAGUUAGUUGGCGGGGUAACGGCCCACCAAGACGAUGAUCAUUAGGGGAACUGAGAGGUUGAUCCCCCACACUGGCACUGAGAUACGGGCCAGACUCCUACGGGAGGCAGCAGUAGGGAAUAUUGGACAAUGGGUGCGAGCCUGAUCCAGCCAUGCCGCGUGCAGGAAGACGGCCUUCUGGGUUGUAAACUGCUUUUGCCAGGGGAUAAAAAGUCCCUGCGGGGAAAAUUGAAGGUACCUGGUGAAUAAGCCACGGCUAACUACGUGCCAGCAGCCG
RNAcentral lists this ribosomal RNA (512 nucleotides) under uncultured bacterium. RNAcentral describes it as "bacterial SSU rRNA". It matches the Rfam family "Bacterial small subunit ribosomal RNA", at positions 9 to 517 of the family's 1533-position model. The record is from RNAcentral.